CCUACGGGUGACAGCAGUCGAGAAUCAUUCACAAUGGGGGAAACCCUGAUGGUGCGACGCCGCGUGGGGGAAUGAAGGUCUUCGGAUUGUAAACCCCUGUCAUGUGGGAGCAAAUUAAAAAGAUAGUACCACAAGAGGAAGAGACGGCUAACUCGGUGUCAGCAGCCGCGGUAAUACCGAGGGCUCAAGCGUUGUUCGGAAUCACUGGGGGUAAAGCGUGCGUUGGGUGUUUCGUAAAUCGAGUGUGAAAGGCGCGGGCUCAACCCGCGGACGGCACAUGAUACUGCGAGACUAGAGUGAAAGAGGAGGAAGCGGAAUUCUCGGUGUAGCAGUGAAAUGCGUAGAUAUCGAGAGGAACACUCGUGGCGAAGGCGGGUUCCUGGACAUUAACUGACGCUGAAGCACGAAGGCCAGGGGAGCGAAAGGGAUUAGAUACCCGGGUAGUC
RNAcentral lists this ribosomal RNA (446 nucleotides) under uncultured bacterium. RNAcentral's name for it is "partial 16S ribosomal RNA". It matches the Rfam family "Bacterial small subunit ribosomal RNA", at positions 338 to 795 of the family's 1533-position model. The record is from RNAcentral.